UCUACGAUGGAGCUUACCGAGAGGGCUGAGGGCGACGGCGGCGCUGGGUUGCAGGGAGUGAUCGGCGACGCGACAAGGGGGGUCUCUAUGGUGGUGCGACACCGAAGGAAGAGAGAGAGCGUGAGUUAAGAGAGAGAAACAGUGGGUCCGAAACAAAAGAGAGAGAAGGAGGUGAGGUUGGUGGUCGGCUUACCGAAAAUAGGUGGCUGAGCUAGGGCUGGGCUGGUCGGCACCGUCUGCGACGCCGGAAUGGAGUCCCGCGUCUCUGAGCGGCGUGGAGUUAAUGCGAGAAGGAGUGGGUGGCUCACGGUUCUCUUCUCGUACACGAGUUGCUUAUCUUGUCAGAUAAUGGAUCAGGAGAACAAUCUUCAAUACACCAAAAUGAGAGCAAUUAACGGAUGAAUUCGUACUGAGAAUGGUUGAAACCAGGAACUUGUGUAACAUUCGGGCUCUAAGCCCAGUUCUUUUGAAGUCAGCCCGGUUGCACGAAGCCCAGCCCACGAGCACUUGAUGAGAGGCUCGAACGAAGUCGUUUUGGUCACUUUCUCUUUCACUAGAGAUUGCUGUGAAUUUUUCUGGACGUAGACUACAAUGGGUUGCGUUGGUUCGAAGUGGUUUGAAGUUUUCGUGACUCUGUUAGGUGGUGUCACUACUAGAGUUCUGACUCAAGGUAUUGAUAAUACAAGGAAGUCAGGUAAGCGGGGUUCAUAUACUAGUUUUGCAUAAAAGAAAUGAAAUAAGGUUGACUUUGAAAUAAGCAUGUUUAUUUUUUAAAGAAAUCUGAAAAUGACCUCAGAUGUUUAUUCUGCAUAUGCAAAAAUUCUACAUAGGAGAAAAUAUUUUUCUGUCAUAACUAGUGUAGAUACGAGCUAAUUUUGUGUAUUUUGUUUUCUGAACUAUGCAAAAGAGCGAAUAUGAA
Long non-coding RNA from Juglans regia (Persian walnut), 919 nucleotides. RefSeq lists it as uncharacterized. The record is from RefSeq and is a predicted model, not a curated record. The transcript has 4 exons. NCBI's taxonomy places the organism in Eukaryota, Viridiplantae, Streptophyta, Magnoliopsida, Fagales, Juglandaceae.